CGCGAAUGGCUCAUUACAACAGCUAUAAUUUACUUGAAUUUGACAACCCUACUUGGAUACCGGUGGUAAUUCUAGCGCUAAUACAUGCACCAAAGCUCCGACCGCGAGGGAAGAGCGCAUUUAUUAGAACAAAACCACACGGCUUCGGCCGUCCAAUGUUGACUCAGAGUAACUAAGCUGAUCGCAUGGUCUUGCACCGGCGACGUUUCUUUCAAGUAUCUGCCUUAUCAACUUUCGAUGGUAGUGUAUCUGACUACCAUGGUGAUGACGGGUAACGGAGGAUAAGGGUUCGACUCCGGAGAAGGGGCCUGAGAAAUGGCCACUACGUCUAAGGAUGGCAGCAGGCGCGCAAAUUACCCACUCUCAGUACGAGGAGGUAGUGACGAGAAAUAACAAGACCGUUCUCUUAUGAGGCCGGUCAUUGGAAUGGGUACAAUUUAAACCCUUUAACGAGUAUCUAUGAGAGGGCAAGUCUGGUGCCAGCAGCCGCGGUAAUUCCAGCU
This 503-nucleotide ribosomal RNA is filed under the name Bitylenchus hispaniensis. RNAcentral's name for it is "SSU rRNA". It matches the Rfam family "Eukaryotic small subunit ribosomal RNA", at positions 88 to 590 of the family's 1831-position model. Lineage: Eukaryota; Metazoa; Nematoda; Chromadorea; Rhabditida; Telotylenchidae. The record is from RNAcentral.